Molecule: long non-coding RNA, 3732 nt
Organism: Athene cunicularia (burrowing owl)
Lineage: Eukaryota; Metazoa; Chordata; Aves; Strigiformes; Strigidae
Exons: 4
Source: RefSeq, a predicted model, not a curated record
GGGCGGCCGGCGACCCGCCUUCCCGGUAGCGGCCGUCGCUCCAGUCACAUCAAACCAUCUGCAAGUCACCUCCCUUGUCUUUCUGGACCAUCCACAGCAGAGCCUGGGAAGAAUUUCUGCCUGUGAUUCUCAGAGGAGUGGGCAGACAGUCUGAGGUAGUUUUUUUGCCGGUUUUGAAUGAUGCACACUGAAGCAGGAGCUCAAAGUAUAAGACAAAGACUUUUUAAAAUGGGAAUCUCCACUGCACCCAGAACUUCACUCCAGACCUGGCUGAGGGAAGAAAAUCUCCUGCGAAGUGCAAGGCUGACACCUGGAGGGGACUGCUGAGAUGCAGCUAGGGCAGGGAUUCUGCAACACAGCUUGGGUUAGGAAAGCUCAGAGGGGGUGGCAAGAUCCCAGAUUCUGGAACUGCUCUUUUCAAGUGAAGUGGUAUUUCAGGUAUUCUUCUCUAUCCCCUUUUCCAAUAAUAAAGCAAAAUCCAGAUUUCUAUUUCAGAUGUUCCAUGUCUAAUUUUAGGAGUGGAGAAGAACAUAGAUGCAAACUCUGUGUCAUCUAGUUAUUUACUUCUUCAGUGUUCAGGAAUAUUUGGAUCAAAACUUGCCUUGCUCAAUAAGCUGCUACAAAUAAUGCAAGGUUAUUUUUUUCAGUUGGUUAGUCUAAUAUAUUUGAAUUGCUGGAUAUCAGACUUCCUGCUGCUUUACCAUUUGUGUAACUCUGUGCUGUGAAUUUCUGGAGUACAGACUUGCAGGGUAAUUCUUACUGUCAAAGCUGCAGCUGGAAGAUUUGGCAUUAGGUAGAGCUUGUUCUUUUCAUGUCUGGCUCUGCCAGCACCCACGGUGAGGCUUUUCUUGAUGCUGAUCCUAAUCAAGGAAUGCAAGGCAGCUUCUGGGACAAAGUCUUCAUGCUUCUGGAAGUUUGCUUUCCAGCCUGGCAAUCACCCAUUCAUAGCACUUACUCAGACCUUUUCAGUAAUCUCUCUUCUCUGCCAGGAAUUGUUUCAGUAUUUGUGAGUGCUGGUUUUGCUUGAUCUAAUUUUAGCAUAUGUUAAUAACUGAGUUACUUGCUGUGGGGGCAUUACCAUACACUCAGUAUCUCACGAAUCCAAAGAUUACAUGUCCAUUCCAUCUCCUUAAUUCUCUUUGUCAUUGCCAGUGUGGUUCCAAUCAUCAUGACCUUUCUUUAGCAGUGACUAGUUGUUUAUAGAAAAAAAACCAAAAACAAAACAACAAAAACCCCAACAACCAGCAGUUAUUUUCAGAGCUCUUACAAGCAAUUCGAUUAAUCCACCUGCAGUACACCUCCCUGAGUCUCCAUCUGUCUCCAGUGGUGUACCUCAGUACCGACUGACUGCAUGGCUUUCCAUUCUAGCCUUCAGACUCCUGAAAUAUCACCCAUAUUCAGUCCAUCCUGAUGAACGUACUAAACUACUCCAUACAUUCCCCACCCAGACUAGCUUAAUGGGUGAGCCAUGAAUAUACUUGCUCCAGCCUGGGGAGUAGAAGAGAGGUACGUUGCCAGCUGUACUAGCAACACAAGAUGUUUGGUGUGCUGGAGGUGCUUCUUUUCAGCCCAGAGCCCUGGGAAGUCUAAUGCCAUCUCUGUGGCUGCUGUUUCUUCAGCGCCUCUCAUUAACUGUGGCAUGACUCUGAAGAGGCAUUAACAUCUUUACCCCUCCUCCACCCCAAGAAUAUUGCCGACGCUGGAUUGUCAGUUAUGCUGAAUUAUGCUGGAUCACUUGUGGUUAUUCAGUGAUGUAGACAAAUACCAAUUCAAGAUCAAGGGUGAACCCUGGCCACUAAACUUGUUUCACUUGUGACUCAUUCCAGACUUAAAACCUGGCUCUUGCUGACAUUUUAUUAACCCAAUUUGUCAUCCUCCUAACCCCCAUUAUCCAACCCAGGCAGAUUAUUUACUUUGAAAAGAUGUGUAGAUAGCUUCCAUGCGAAUCCUAAGUAGAUCCAGGUGCCAUAGCUAGAUUCCAGAGGGAGCUAUAGCCAUGAGAGAUACACGUGCUGGUAAAAUAACUUCUAUUCUAAAUGCUUCGAAACAUUUUCCCUGUUUAGAUAUUGUCUGGACUCCCAUUCCUGCAAAGCAGCCUGGCACCAAUAUGGUAAAGUGCCCAACUACAUACCUUCAGGCCUGGUUGUGGUCCCAAAGAGAUAAGCAAAGAUAAAUUUAAUCAUAUACUUAAAAGUUAAGCACAUGCUAAAAUAUAGUCUUGCUUUGGAGUCAGAAUCAACUGACUCCAACCCUACUAAGCAACUCCCUUUGAAUCUUUGCGUUUAUCCCAAAAUAAAGCAUUCAAGUGAAGAAUUAGCUUGCUGCCUUCUGGAGAAUUCAUCAUUUCCAGUUUGCAAGCUUGAGGAGAGAAAUCCAGGAAGCAUCAAUAAAUCCACUUUGGCAGCAGAGUAAAGAGCUGCAAAAGGAGUAACCUGUCAGGGUAAUGUGACUUAAUUUCUCAGAGAAAGAUCCUUUUUAUAAAUGAAAUUAAAAUGCCAGCAAAGUCAAAUAGCAGGAAAUGUCACCCUUGAUUUUCUCACAGUAGGACAAAAAAUAAAUCAAAAGAAGGCAAGGUAAAUGAUAACGGUUUUACAUUUAGCAAGGGAAGUAAUAACAUAAACUGAAAAUAACAACAUACACUGAGAAUCUAUGCACAGCAGCCUGAGUAUGACAAAGGUAUGUGUUCCCACGUAAACAUUCAUUUAAUCUGCAUGUUUUUACUUGGACAAAACGAAGGCUGUGUGCCAGAGUUUAAAUAUUUGGUGAGAUUCACACAUUGGACAUGAGGGGGCAGUCUUACCUGCAGUUUAUUGAUGGCAAAACUCUGCUGUGUAAUACCGAGGCAGGGUCCUUACAGGCAGUUUGGUUUGGUGUCCCAAGUUGCAAUGGCACGAUCUGGAGCUUUGCCCCUUUCUAAACAAGGGACCCAUCCAGGCUUUUCAGAUUUCCUUAGUCAAAGGGUGAGCACUGUCCCUUUAAAUAAGCACAGAGAUCUCAGUCCAAAUGGGGAAUGAAGCCCAGGCUACCAACAGUUAUGAAAUCUCCCUUUCAGAGCUUGCAGGCUUAGGGGCCGCUGCUACACUCUGAGGUUAAUAAUCAGUUUUAAUAUUCACUUAGGGGGCUGUAAAAAAAGAAUGAAAAUUUCCUAAUUUGAAAAUGGACUUGAUUGGCAGCUUUAUUAUCUCUGUAAGGUGCGUGGCAUUCCACACAAUCAAGUCGUUUUUUUAAAUAAUCUCACUGCUUAAGUCGUACACGCUGCUAAUUGCAUUUUAAUAAGUCUCUUUAAAAUCUUUCCAUAUUUUUUAAUAUCCUAAUAUUAGAUAAGUGAUUGCUGGGGACACUGGAGGGCACUGAAGUUUAUAGAAAGAGGAACACCAUAAUGAAGCUUUAUUGGGAUGGCAUCACCAAACAAUUGCUGUGAUAGCAACACUCCCAAGCUUGGAAAAGUGCCAGACAUUCCCCCCCUGGAACUGACUCAGACACUAGCCUCUCUGGCUCAGGACUGACGCAGAAAAUGGAUGCUUUCUGGCUCAUAAAAUGGCCUCUUUCCGGCUUGGAAAUGACUGAGGAACUGUCCACUUUUGAUUUGGAAAGGCCUUGGGAACUGGUCUUUCUCCAUUGAACAAUGACUUCAAAAUGCACUUUUUCUUUUCUUGAUUCUGGCUUGAAACUAUAAAAGUGUUUGGGUUUUGGUUUGUUUUUUUGGUUUUUUUUUUUUUAAUUUGGCCAGGA